UACGAAGGGGGCGAGCGUUGUUCGGAUUUACUGGGCGUAAAGGGCGCGCAGGCGGCUCAUUUUGUCAGGCGUGAAAGCCCCGGGCUUAACCUGGGAACUGCGUUUGAUACGGAUGGGCUAGAGUUCGGGAGAGGAGAGUGGAAUUCCCAGUGUAGAGGUGAAAUUCGUAGAUAUUGGGAAGAACACCGGUGGCGAAGGCGGCAUCCUGGACCGACACUGACGCUGAGGCGCGAAAGCUAGGGUAGCAAACGGG
RNAcentral lists this ribosomal RNA (253 nucleotides) under uncultured bacterium. RNAcentral's name for it is "partial 16S ribosomal RNA". It matches the Rfam family "Bacterial small subunit ribosomal RNA", at positions 524 to 776 of the family's 1533-position model. The record is from RNAcentral.